GUAGUCUGCAACCCGACUACAUGAAGCUGGAAUCGCUAGUAAUCGCGGAUCAGAAUGCCGCCGUGAAUACGUUCCCGGGCCUUGUACACACCGCCCGUCACACCAUGAGAGUUGGAAAUACCCGAAGCCUGUGAGCUAACUGUAAAGAGGCAGCAGUCGAAGGUAGAGCCAAUGAUUGGGGUGAAGUCGUAACAAGGUAUC
Molecule: ribosomal RNA, 201 nt
Filed under: uncultured bacterium
Lineage: Bacteria
Description: partial 16S ribosomal RNA
Rfam family: Bacterial small subunit ribosomal RNA
Source: RNAcentral